GAGGAGUGUCGAAAAGGAAAUGACUUUUUCGCGGUGUGAUUUCAAGGCUUUGUCCAAGCACUUGGGAAAACACUGGAGGAGGCCGCUGGUUCCCAGCUCCAGGUUAGCUCCUGUGCCUGCUCACCGUGCUGGGGCCUGCCCUUCGGAAUAGCCAGAAGCCAACCCCAGGCCGCUCCCUGUGCACCCGGCUGAGAUGGCUUAGUCGCAAGCACGCUUGGCCGCAGAAAGACCUGGUCCUCGAGUCACCCGCCCCCAUCUGCUGGAGAGAGACUUGUGGCACCUCCCCUCUCCACGCUGCAACUCUCGGGGAGAAACGGCAGAGCUGACGCAAGCGGCCCCGAUGCACAUGUACUGCCCCCCACGCCCCCCACGAUCCUCUGCGGCUCCACGAAAGGGUUAAGUGAGGGCUCAGCCGCUACAUAAAUCUGUGUUUACCCGCUGCAAAGCAAGCUAUUUAGGUUUCUGAUUUACAGUCCUCCGUUUUCAUAAAAGUCAGUCAUUCCCAGUAAAAGAAUGUGAGCUAGAUUUAUAGGAUCUGCGUUAGUCUUUAAAGCCCAGAGCUGGUCUAUGACUCACCCUCCAUAAUGUUUUUGCUCUAGUCCGGAGAUAUUCACGGGCAAAGAGAAAGAUUCAGAUCUCUGCCCUAAAAAAUAAGACGUUUGGGGGGAACUCAUUAUAAUGGCGUCAAUUGUGCUGCGCUCGUAAACCCGCUGUCCGCGGGCCCCCCUGGAGCCUGUUUUCCAGGGGUUUUAUUCCGCAAUAAAACGCGCUCUGGUUUGCAGCUUGGCAUGUGAGACCUCCACUGGUAUGAGCGAAUGCUUUUUUUCCAACCGAAUUAUUAGGAAUAAACAGCCCACCAGUGGGAAGGCAGAAAAAAAUUAUAAGCAAGGAAAAUAAAUCUUGGAAUGUUUG
This is a long non-coding RNA of Phyllostomus hastatus (greater spear-nosed bat), 912 nucleotides long. RefSeq lists it as uncharacterized. Lineage: Eukaryota; Metazoa; Chordata; Mammalia; Chiroptera; Phyllostomidae. The transcript is spliced from 2 exons. The record is from RefSeq and is a predicted model, not a curated record.